GAACUUAGACGCGCACCUCUAUAGCCAUCCAGUCGGUCUCGGCUGUUUGCUAAACCCUUACGGGAUACGCCUCUCCUGUUCUUCGCAGCAGCUUUCAACAGGUGGUAAACAAACUGAAAGUAAUAGCAUCCCCCAUCCGAUGCUCUAGAAUCAGAGUUGGAAGAAGGAUGUGUCAUCUUCUUUAGAUUAAUUUGAUGUACUUUUCUACCUAUUGUAGGCUAAAGGCCCUUCCACCUAUACAAAACUGACAAAUGGCUUUAUCUUCUCAGUUCUUGACCCCUAGGGACUGGCAUGUAACAUCCCUUAGUUCAAACCUUCUUUGUGGUACUCCAUUGUGGUUGCACUCCAAUGUCGGUUGCAAGUACCAAAGAAAAGAAAAUUUCAAGACUUGUUAUACUUUAACACCUCGUGCCUCUGUUAAGAUUGUCCGUAGUCGUCCAUUAGAUCGGCAUGCUGUAAAACAUAACAAAACUCGAUUUGUACAAAAGCUGAUAAUCCUGCUGCUGUCUAAACCAAAGCAUUAUAUACCAAUCCACAUUCUUUCCAAGUGUCGUGGCUAUCUUUCCCUUCCCAAACCCCGCUCUCUUCUUUCAAUGAUUCAUCGUUAUCCUUCCAUUUUUGAACUUUUUUCAAUCCCUUAUCCACCCACACCACUCAAUGCAACUAAGCUAUACCCCCAACUUUGUGUUCGUCUAACCCCAGUAGCAGCAUCUCUUGCUAAGCAGGACUCCAAUCUCAAAUUGGUGAUCUCUAACACCCUGGCUGAAAAGCUCCAGAAGUUACUUAUGCUUUCUUCGCACCACAGGAUUCUCUUAUCCAAGCUGGUUCACCUUGCUCCCGACCUAAGCAUGCCCCCAAAUUUUAGGUCCCGUCUCUGUAAUGAUUAUCCAGAAAAAUUCAGGACUGUCGACACUUCAUAUGGCCGUGCACUGGAGCUUGUCUUCUGGGACCCAGAGUUGGCAAAGCCUUUACCUUGCCUUCAAGUUUCUUCACGUGAGCUAAUAGUGGAUAGACCUUUAAAAUUCAACUUGUUGAAACUAAGAAAGGGACUGAACUUGAAAAGAGCCCACCAGGAAUUUCUAAUUAAGUUCAGGGAUUUGCCAGAUGUUUGCCCUUACAAAACUCCUGCGAGUGAGUUGGCUAAGGAGUCUCUCGAGUCAGAGAAACGAGCUUGUGCUGUAGUGCGAGAGGUAUUGGGGAUGAUGAUUGAGAAGAGGACUUUAAUAGAUCACUUGACACAUUUUAGAAAAGAUUUUGGGCUACCCAAUAAACUUAGAGGAAUGAUUGUGAGGCAUCCAGAGUUAUUUUAUGUGAGUCUGAAGGGUCAGAGAGACUCUGUAUUCCUUGUAGAGGGGUUCAACGAUAAGGGUCAUCUAAUAGAGAAGGAUGAGACUUUGGCUAUCAAAAAUCAAUGGAUGAAGCUUUUGAUGGAAGGGAAAAGGAUGAGACGGGAGAAGAGGAAGGCUCAAAUAUAUGACAGUAGAUAUGGAAAUGAUCAUGAAAAUCAUAGUCAUGACCAUGAGAUGGAAACUGACUAUGAUGAUGAUUACGAAGAUGGUUUUGAGAGUUUAUUUCAGUAUGAGGAUUUAGAUUUUGAGGAUGAGGAGAGUGAUCUGCCAAGCAAUAGGUCAAAUGGAGACUUUUGGACUACAAAUAAUGCAGCAGAUAUUAUAAAUGGCGAAAAUGGAGGACAUAUAAAACCGUGGUGAUGGUUAAUAUAACUUGUUUGAUAUAUUUGGAAGAUUCAUCAAAAUAUUUCUACAGUUAACGUAAACAAAGUGCCUCUUCAGUUUGUUUAUUAAAUUCAGAAAAAGCACUUUGUGAACAUAAAGGUCAGGCUUGGAAGCUCAAAGGAUGUUUAAAUGUAGCCUGGUGAUCUUUAGGAAGGGCUGAAGCCACUGCCUCUUGGCUCAUGUAUUUGUGCUUGAGCAAGGUCCCCAUGAAUGUAUGCUCUGCUGAUAUAACACUAUACCUUCUCCAGCUGUAUAUUGAACUUGCUUGUCAUGUUCGUUUAUCUCCUCAAAAUGUAGAAUGAUUGGAAUACCUUAUGGAGUGUGAACAAAACUUCUCCCUAAUCAAGAGGGAUGUAUGAGAGAUAAGUCCUAACUCCUGUUUACGUGUACCAUUUGAUACACUAAGACAACAUAUUCCAGUUAAUGAAUAAUGUAAAUAUUCAGAUAUAGUUCGGUACCUCGUCUCUACUCCUUGGUCGCAGGCAGUGAAUGUAUUCAGAUUAAUUUUCUCCUCUUUGGGACAGUGUUAAUAAGAGGGUAUUUUCAUUUUUUGUUUACUAAUUACUCAUUUACUGUUUCUUAUUUUUAGUUUCUAAGAAGCAUGUGUUUAGCAACUAUUGUUCCUUCUCGUUUCUCAUUUUUAAGAAACAAGAAACAAUUAUGAAUCACUUUUUUUCUUUCGUAUAAAACAGAAAACAUGGAAUACGAAACAGGAUCCUCACCAAAUAAGUCCUAAAUUCUUCUGUUAAACAUGUGAAUAAUGUUUAAAAAUUUCCUCCCCAUAAUUUUGAUUAUAUGUAUGUAUCACGUCUUGUGUAUUUGCGGGAGCAUUAUGGAUGGAUCCUUCUAGCUUUGGUUGUAUCCUUAGUAUAUGCUCCUAAACUGAUGAAUUGGCUUCUGAUGACUGCACAGUAACAGAUAUUCUGUGUGGACAGAUACGGGUCAAACAUUUUUAUCCAUACUAUGAUGUGUUACACGUUUUGCCAUAUAUCCUUAAUUUCAGUUCUCUGCAGGUGUAUUAAUCUUAUGCCUAUUUUACUGCUGUUUUCUGAGGUUUGUCUAGCUUUUUAUACACAGAAUCAUUGUUUAUGAUUUUUAAUAUAUUUUCUUAUUUUGAUUCAGAAAAUAGAUAGGUGAUGCCAGACAUCUUCACUGACGAGACUUUGUUUCUUCUUGAUGUUUGUUGGACUCUAGUUGUUUGAUGAACACACAUACCAAUUAUUACAAAUCAAAAGUGUUCUGAAAAGGCCAACAAAGCAUGUGUCUAGUCACCACGAUGCGACUUCCUGCAAUGUAGAUGAAAACAAAGGAAUCGACGAACAUCGAAAACAAAGCAUAAUGAUGAUGGUAUCAGUUUGAGUUUUCAAAUGUUCUUAUCAAUUAUUGCUUUAAACCUUUUCUCCUAGCAUGUAUUAUACUUGCAAUUCUCAGAAAACAUCUCCUGCAACCUUUUUUAAUGCAUGUAUGUUUAGAGCCUUAGUUGGAGGAAGCAAAGGAAGUUUCCUAAAUCAAAAUGAACUUUUUGUUGGAAAUGAUAACCUUUUGGUGAAUCUUCCAAUAAAAAGUGGGACAUAGCAUAAUCAUAUGCAUCAAAUUUACAGUAAAUAAAUGCAUAAAAAGCUUAUAUAACUUAUUAGUCAUGCAAUUCAAAGUAUUCAUUGUUUAUUAUCUGUAGGAUUUGUAAGUUGUAAUGAGCCAUCUCUGACAGAUAAAGAUGAAAAAGAAAGGCUUGCAAAUUUUUUUGAAGUAUUGGGAUACUGUUUCAGGCUUUUCAGGGUCCAUGCUUUGCCUUCUUAAUAGCCAACAGAACCAUCAAAGAAGCAGCUAAGUUAAACCAACCAACCAUUUGCUUUCAUUUUGUUGGCUUUUAAGGCAUUGCAAACUUCAAUGGUCCAGAAAAAAGGCCCCAACAGAUAGAUUCUCGUAAGAAUAUUCUUCCUUAUAAUUGCUUCAUUUGUUUAGCAAAAUUUAGACCUUAGAAUCCUUUUCACAUUGUGUUUUCUUCAUUCUUUCUAAGACUUUAGACUAACUUCAAUAUAAAUAUUUUGAAACU
Molecule: RNA transcript, 3786 nt
Organism: Cucurbita moschata (crookneck pumpkin)
Lineage: Eukaryota; Viridiplantae; Streptophyta; Magnoliopsida; Cucurbitales; Cucurbitaceae
Gene name: protein WHAT'S THIS FACTOR 1
Exons: 3
Source: RefSeq, a predicted model, not a curated record